Molecule: unclassified non-coding RNA, 202 nt
Filed under: uncultured Tomentella
Lineage: Eukaryota; Fungi; Basidiomycota; Agaricomycetes; Thelephorales; Thelephoraceae
Description: sequence contains ITS1
Source: RNAcentral
CCGAACUGUCAACACGAGUUGUUGCUGGUCCCCAAACUGGGGGCACGUGCACGCUCUGUUUACACAUCCACCCACACCUGUGCACCCUCUGUAGUUCUAUGGCCUGGGUGACUUUGCCCCCUCGCUGUGGUUCUAUGUAUUUACACACACACACUGCUAUAAAGUCUCAUGGAAUGUUUGUCGCGUUUAACGCAAUACAAUA